Small nuclear RNA from Arvicanthis niloticus (Nile rat), 103 nucleotides. Lineage: Eukaryota; Metazoa; Chordata; Mammalia; Rodentia; Muridae. The record is from RefSeq and is a predicted model, not a curated record.
GUGCUUGCUUAGGCAGCAUAUAUACUAAAAUCGGAACAAUACAGAGAAGAUUAGCAUGGCCCCUGCGAAAGGAUGACAAAUUCAUGAAGCGUUCCAUAUUUUU